AAUCUACCUUUGAGUGGGGAAUAACAAUUAGAAAUGAUUGCUAAUACCGCAUAUACCCUCCGGGGGAAAGGCUUCGGCCGCUCUUAGAUGAGCCCGCGUACGAUUAGUUUGUUGGUGAGGUAAAGGCUCACCAAGACUACGAUCGUUAGCUGGUUUGAGAGGAUGAUCAGCCACACUGGGACUGAGACACGGCCCAGACUCCUACGGGAGGCAGCAGUGGGGAAUAUUGGACAAUGGGCGAAAGCCUGAUCCAGCCAUGCCGCGUGAGUGAAGAAGGCCUUAGGGUUGUAAA
RNAcentral lists this ribosomal RNA (292 nucleotides) under uncultured Alphaproteobacteria bacterium. RNAcentral describes it as "partial 16S ribosomal RNA". It matches the Rfam family "Bacterial small subunit ribosomal RNA", at positions 123 to 429 of the family's 1533-position model. The record is from RNAcentral. Lineage: Bacteria; Pseudomonadati; Pseudomonadota; Alphaproteobacteria.